GCUGGGCACAGUGGCGCACACCUGUAAUCCCAACAGCUCAGGAGGCUGAGGCAGGAGGAUCACAAGUUCAAAACCAGCCUCAGCAACUUAGCAAGGCCUUAAGCAACUCAGUGAGGCCCUAAGCAACUCAGUGAGACCCUGUCUCUA
This 147-nucleotide small RNA is filed under the name Marmota monax (woodchuck). Lineage: Eukaryota; Metazoa; Chordata; Mammalia; Rodentia; Sciuridae. The record is from RNAcentral.